CGUAGGGUGCGAGCGUUAAUCGGAAUUACUGGGCGUAAAGCGUGCGCAGGCGGUUUUGUAAGACAGAUGUGAAAUCCCCGGGCUCAACCUGGGACCUGCAUUUGUGACUGCAAGGCUAGAGUACGGUAGAGGGGUUGGAAUUCCGCGUGUAGCAGUGAAAUGCGUAGAUAUGCGGAGGAACACCGAUGGCGAAGGCAAUCCCCUGGACCUGUACUGACGCUCAUGCACGAAAGCGUGGGGAGCAAACAGGAUUAGAUACCCUGGUAGUCCACGCCCUAAACGAUGUCAACUGGUUGUUGGGUCUUUACUGACUCAGUAACGAAGCUAACGCGUGAAGUUGACCGCCUGGGGAGUACGGCCGCAAGGUUG
This 369-nucleotide ribosomal RNA is filed under the name uncultured organism. Its description in RNAcentral is "bacterial SSU rRNA". It matches the Rfam family "Bacterial small subunit ribosomal RNA", at positions 526 to 896 of the family's 1533-position model. The record is from RNAcentral.